This 486-nucleotide ribosomal RNA is filed under the name uncultured bacterium. RNAcentral describes it as "partial 16S ribosomal RNA". It matches the Rfam family "Bacterial small subunit ribosomal RNA", at positions 30 to 507 of the family's 1533-position model. The record is from RNAcentral.
AUUGAACGCUGGCGGCAUGCCUUACACAUGCAAGUCGAACGGCAGCACGGGUGCUUGCACCUGGUGGCGAGUGGCGAACGGGUGAGUAAUACAUCGGAACAUGUCCUGUAGUGGGGGAUAGCCCGGCGAAAGCCGGAUUAAUACCGCAUACGAUCUACGGAUGAAAGCGGGGGACCUUCGGGCCUCGCGCUAUAGGGUUGGCCGAUGGCUGAUUAGCUAGUUGGUGGGGUAAAGGCCUACCAAGGCGACGAUCAGUAGCUGGUCUGAGAGGACGACCAGCCACACUGGGACUGAGACACGGCCCAGACUCCUACGGGAGGCAGCAGUGGGGAAUUUUGGACAAUGGGCGAAAGCCUGAUCCAGCAAUGCCGCGUGAGUGAAGAAGGCCUUCGGGUUGUAAAGCACUUUUGUCCGGAAAGAAAUCCUUGGCCCUAAUACGGUCGGGGGAUGACGGUACCGGAAGAAUAAGCACCGGCUAACUACGUG